ACUGUGGAAUCUGCCUGGCAGCAGAGAUGGAAAGCAUUUAGCAGGAGCUGGAAGAGGAUCACAGACGGGUUUAUGCCAGCAGUGAGUUCUCCAGCCCUGUUCCACAUGGCUAAUCCCUGAGCAGAGAUGUGACCUCUUCCCAUCACUGGUGCAGGAACACCAGUGCUGGGGACACUCCCAGACUCUCCCACUCUCACCAUCUCCAAGUGGGAACUGAAAUUUGGCCCAGCAGAAUUUAGAAGACCAUGAAGAGAGGUGAAAAACUAGGACUGGAAGGAAGAAAAAUCUUCAUGGAACCCCAAAAAGUCCCUGGUACCACCUUCCCUCCUCAUCUCCAGUGUGUGGCUGAUUGAUAAUUGUCAUUAUCUAUGAGAUAUUGCUGGAGCUCUUCCAUCAGAAGACAUGAAGAGUUCUUCCAUCAGAGGAUGUGCCCACGCCUUGUGAGCUUUCCUUCCUCACAGUGAACUCUGAGAGUUGGAGAAGCUCAUGGUUUACAGGAGACUUUGGCAAGGGCUGAUGUUAAAAAUGGAGAAGAAACACAGGACAAUCAUCACUGAGGGGCUGGAGAACUCUCUGGAAUAACUUGGGAUAUUUGCAUCCCUGGGGCCUGUUGUGCGUCAAAGAAUGGAAAGUAUAUUGGGAAAAAGUUAAUUUUUCUGGAGUAUUUGACAUGGGCAUCAAAAGUUAUAACCCUUCUUCAAAAUGGAACAACUUAUUUCUGCUAGUUAAUAGUGAAAUUAUUUAAUCUAUAUCAUCUGGAAGCACUUUAAAAACCUGUUAUAAAAUAUAACCACCAGAGACCUUAAA
Molecule: long non-coding RNA, 807 nt
Organism: Pseudopipra pipra
Lineage: Eukaryota; Metazoa; Chordata; Aves; Passeriformes; Pipridae
Exons: 2
Source: RefSeq, a predicted model, not a curated record